UUGCCUGGUUAAACUCCAUCGCCUCCAUAGAUCGCACCAGUGCCAUCUGCUCGUCCAUCAAUUUCCUGUGCUCCUCCAUCGAUUCAGUGCUCGGUGUAGCAGCUUCUUCCUCUUGUGGGGGAGGUAUUUUGAGUAGCUCGUAGAGCUCCUUCAGCUUCCAAAGUGCAUCAAGUAGCACCUCUUCUUGAGGCUUACCUUCGUCAAGCGCCAUCCCCUUGAAAGUCUGUUUAACCCUAGCCUUGAUGUAGCAAUUGCCUUUUUUAUAAUUUCCUAUACCAAAAGGGCUGUGAAAUGUGAAACCGCUUUUUCCACAAACAAUUCUUACCUUUCUUAUUCAAAAGAAUCCAAUACGUCUGAAUAAAAGCAUUAAACAAAGUGCCUAGUGACUUGGUGGAAAUACUUUCUGUUUCCAAAUAAUCGGCGAGCAUCCUAUUGCUCGCAGCAAACCACCAACACAAUGCUGUGAAAAUCGCCGGCGCUUCAUUCCCCGCGGUGUGGUGCGCUUGGUCUGCGCAGUGUGAGCCUGGCAACCAGCUCUGUUGAGUUCUUGGCGGCAUUCACUGACAAAACCUUCACGAGGAAAGAUGGAAAACGUUAAUCGACUCAUUCCAAGACAAACCUGUGGAAUCACAAUGCAAUCUCCGCAAUCGCCAGCUGCUCACGCAAUCUCAGAGUUGUGGCCUGCUCUCGGAAUCAUGCCCAGAUUUUCCAGUUACACCGACAACGGAGCCUUGACACCAAGUUCUCGGAGUGGAGAAAAGGAUUUGGCACUGGAACUUUUCUCCAUCAUGCUGGAUCAAGGACGCGAGAAUCUUUGUGGCUGUUCUUGGUGCCUGCGCGCGGGAGAAGACGGCAGGGAGCUGGCUGGGUAAAUGAUGAACGUGCAGUCAGUCGGGACACGAGAAAAAAAAAACACACACACACACACGUCCAAAGCUCCGAGACCUCGUGCAGAAGCUGCCAGUACAGGGACAUGAUGGCGUUGAUAAGUAUGGUGAAAAGCCCCGUUGUAUCCUUCCCAAACUUGCAGCUGCGUUAAAUGCCGCUUCGAGAGCUGAAAUUGCAUAUAAGACGCCGGGAGGGAGAUAAUCCCACCACCUUCAAAGGCUUCAGUUCGGAGCAGUCAUUCGCUGUCUUUGGAGUGCUUCCUAGAUAGAGAUGUUCUUUUCCCAUGCAAACCUGUCGUCGCCAUGGCUAAGAAGGCCCAGAGAGCUUUCCAAACCAUGGCAACGAACUUCCUUGCAUCCGAGAUCACGGAGGAACGGUCUGCAUUUCUUUUCCAGCAUAAGAAUCGCUGCCCACAGCAGCUGAGCGAGGUCGCUCAGCUACUGUAGGAACUGACGUUGUAAGCAUCGAUGACAAGCUCAGUCUUCCCUGUGCUGCCAACCCGUGAGCAAUAGCCGCAAGUGUGAAAGAAAAGACCGCCGUCAAUACCAGAACCUUUGUUGCCACCUCCCUGACUGCUCGCCAAAUACUCAGAUAGCAUGCUGAAUAUCGCAGCAACCACAGUGCCGUCAGCACCACCUGGAGUUUGAUUCGAAGCACGAUCUUUUUAACUGAGAUACCAGUGGACAAUUGGCUAAAGUAUGUACCAGGUUAAAAGAAUCUUGAAACAAACAACUAUCAACAGAAAAAAAUCAACAAACACACCUAAAGUGUAGAAGACAACGUAGAGCGAAUGUAAGAGGCCAGCCUGAACACCUUCAAGUGUAUACAUGCCAAUUGGACAACUUGUUACUGUCGUUCUUAGCUUUCUGUCCAGCCUCUCAGAAUUAACUUGAGGAUGAGCUUCUUUACCAGUCAAAAGAUUUAGGCCACACCCACAUUGCCUACAUGCUUCUCCGGAAGCUGGUCAAGACGUCCACAAAUGCAUAUCAAUCUGAAACGCUCUUUGUGAUACAGCUCCUGCGCCAAAUAAGGCACGCAAUGGUUUAGUAGUCCCCCACUUGCUUGGUCACUAUGUAACAAAAGCUCCGAUAGUAGUACUUUGCUGCAGCUCCUUCACUUAUUUUACUUCAAAUUUUGAGCAAAAGCACAUCGGUCUGGGCAAACAGCAUUGGCACGCGAGAAAGCUCUUAUCAAGUCACGGAAACUUCUGCAGAAGGACAACGAAAAAUUGUUAUAGCGAUGGAAGCAUUACCAGCAUUAUCGAGAGGAGCUGUGCACGCCUGACUAGGACUGACAUUAGAUGGACACGGCACUGAUUCUGGUCUUUUGGUAGGAGCUGGCUCCACCUUGUGUAGUGCACGAUCGUUACGUUAGCCGUUAGCCGUUAGCCCGUGAUGCUAGCACAAUAUUUCCAGGCAGCAUCACAUCCUCUUUCGAAUGUAGUCGCAGCUCCUCACAUUUGUCAAUUAUGGCCACUUUUUAGCAAUAUCUUACCCGUGCUGCUAUUUCGUCAGAUGUCAAUUCAGUCCAUUCAGAAACCUAUGAACGUUUUUGUUGGAUCCUGCGGUAAGCGAACCUUGUUAAAGAGCCCUUUCAAAAAACUUUUGAGAGCAUCAGGUGGAUCCUGCUCGACAGCGAUAGCUAAAGUUAUAACAAAAUCGCAAUAAUUACCUCCUGUAAACAGAGUUAGAGUAAAAAGGAGGCUGGCCAACAUAGAGUUCAUUCCUGCUCAUGACAAUGCGCGUCAAUGUAAAACAAACAGAACUUUACAAUGUCACACCAAGAGUCUGCUCUAGGGAGCCAUGUAUAGUGGAGCUCCUGUCAUAGCGUCACGGUUUCACGAAUGUAUAGAAGCAAUCUAAAAGACAACCUUCGAUCGAGCGAAGAGCCAUUUGUGUUGCAAGACAUGUCCACAAUCGCAGAGCUGAUUCCAACAAUAGGCACUCACAGGAUUUCACAAUCCAGAUUUGGUGCCUUCGCCGGCACCGAUCUCCCAGUGGAUGGUGUAGUGCCCGAACCUACGAGUAAGUCUUCUUAGAAAAAGUCUCGCACUAAUCUUUGUCGCUCUUGCCGUGCUUGAGCAUAUCGUCUGGGGCAUCGAUCGAUCAGGGGCAAACAAGAAAACAAAAAUGCAGCUCACAGAAAUGCAUGGCCAGUGCAUCUCGUCAAAAAGCCUAGAGCGAUACCCAGAGUAGAAAUUCUUCUGGUAACAUUUAUUUUGUAUGGUAGGAAUUCUUUUCUCUCUUUUUCGUUCUUGAAGGCAAGAAAAUUCCCCCGUACAACGUGGCUGGGAUAGAAUUUCUUUCGGCCCGACCAGACAUGUCCAACAGACGCUCGUAGUGCUCCUCGGAUGGCAUUCUCAUUCUCCAAAACUGUCAAGGCAACUUAUGCUCCAAAGCCGCACCUUCUUUGCCACAAGACUUUCCUCUGCUUCUUCCUGAUCACCUCGCCUUCGCUUCAAGCCCGGCUUCAAAUCCAUCUCCAGACACAAUUCCUGCUGUACAGCAGAAUGCUUGACGACCCAUGGAUGCUUCUCAAUCUCAUGGAUUGGCAGCCUCUUUCUCGGGUCCAAGUGGAGCAGCUGGAGAAUGAGAUCUUUGGCUUCCUCGCUCACAUCCGUCCAGUCAAGGGAGGUCACCGGCACUUCCUUCCUCCCCACCCAGAAUGCAAACUGCCCCGACAAUAUCUCAUACAAGACAAUGCCCACGCCCCACACAUCUACCAUCUCAUCAUACUCAUCAUCAGAAUUCACCAUCUCUGGGGCGCUGUAAGCCUGUGUCCCAGAAAGGUCGCUCAUCCUAAACUUUACGCCUGGCCCCUCGCUCAACCAACACGUUCCAAAGUCAGCCACCUUUAUGCUGUCAAAUUUCUCCUUAAUCCCUAGGAGGAUGUUGGCAGUGUUGAUAUCCCUAUGAGCUAUUCCCAUGUCGUGCAUUUCGCCCACAGUCCUGGCCACUUUCUUCAUCACCAGUGCUGCCUCGUGCUCACUCAGCCUCCCCUUGUCCUUCAACACAUCUCGCAGCGAGCACUGGCACAACUCCAUGACAAGGUGAUGGUAUUCUUGUUCUUUGAAAACGUCCACUAGUUGAACCACACCACUUUUUGCUGUGCUCUUGGAGAGUUUCGUGAGUACUCUCAUCUCUAACUCCGCUUGGUCUUCAAGAUUGUCAGUGACCCGAAUUGAUUUACAAGCGAACAAUUGACCGUCGCUCUUGCGUUUGAUUUGGUAGACACUUGAUUGGCCUCCCUGACCCAGCUCCUUUUCCACCGAGAACAAGUCUCCCAUGCUUGCCUGGUUAAACUCCAUCGCCUCCAUAGAUCGCACCAGUGCCAUCUGCUCGUCCAUCAAUUUCCUGUGCUCCUCCAUCGAUUCAGUGCUCGGUGUAGCAGCUUCUUCCUCUUGUGGGGGAGGUAUUUUGAGUAGCUCGUAGAGCUCCUUCAGCUUCCAAAGUGCAUCAAGUAGCACCUCUUCUUGAGGCUUACCUUCGUCAAGCGCCAUCCCCUUGAAAGUCUGUUUAACCCUAGCCUU
RNAcentral lists this long non-coding RNA (4417 nucleotides) under Selaginella moellendorffii. Its description in RNAcentral is "long non-coding RNA (SMOE_LNC001812)". The record is from RNAcentral. Lineage: Eukaryota; Viridiplantae; Streptophyta; Lycopodiopsida; Selaginellales; Selaginellaceae.